AAAAACCCCUGUUGCAGCCCCCUUAUUGCAGCGUACAUGUAUUAAUACGCUUCAACAACCAUUUGGUCAACGCGGGUCAAACCCUUUAAAGGGUUGUUGCAGCGUACAAAUUAAUUGCCCCCUGCAAAAGAGUUUUUUGCAGCGUACAUAGUAAAAGCCCCCUGCAACAGCCUUUUUAUUUUGCAGCGUAAAGGGUAAAUGCCCCUGCAAUAGCAUUUUAGUAAUUUUUUUCGCUGCAACGUUAAUUUAGACCAAACAUUUCUAUCUCAAACCUCAACACCAAUUUCGCAAUUCAUAUCCCCGCUCAAUACUCCCUUCUUCUUCCCUCAUCUUUCCCUGUGUCUCGCCCAUCGCUGGUGGUUCUCGCCAGUCGUCUUCGCCGUCGCCGCUGGGUCUCGCCCGUCGCCGGUGGUACUCUACCAAGAGUCUAUUUCCUCGCCUCCUCACCGGUGGUUCCCUUCUCGGAAAACCACCGCAUAAGUUAUUCCCUGCUCGAAAACCACCGGUGAAGUCAUUCCCCACUCGAAAAACUAAGCUGCUUUGCUCGGUUGCUGGUUUUAAUCUCCGUCAUCCUCCUCGCCGCGGCCGACCGGUCAUCUUCCCUGUCCAAUCAGAUGCGUUGGAAGAAGACUUGAUCCAGUGACAGGGAAGAUUUACAACGUUAUAAAUUUUCCUCUUGAGCUAAGGAAAUAAAAUCAAGACUUGUCACUCGUGCUGAUGACACCGAGGAAAAAGUCUACACUCCGAGGAUUGCGCCUUAUGCGAGGAAUUUGAUGUGGUUCGUGAGCAAUGGGCUAAGUUUUUUACCAACAAGUAUUUAUUAUUGGCUUUAGCGCGCUUGAUCGAGUUGGUUUAGUUGUUAUAGAAUAAAUUUUAUAUUAAAAUGUAUGUUUAUGUUGAAAUUGGAACAUAUAUUUAAAUGUAAUAUGUGCACUUUGGUUUUGGGAUAUAUAGUAUACAAAACUCCAGUUGUUGUUUUUAUAUUUGUUAUACAGGUUGCGUUAUUCUAUUAUUGUUUUGACAGGUUUCGAUCUAUAUUUGGUGCAAGGCACUCUAGGUAUCCCUAAACAAAAUUAGAAUUUUCCCGCCAAAAGUGCUUUUUUGCAGCGUACAUAUAUGUUGUACGCUGCAACAAGGGAAAAAAAUUUGGCAAAAAUUCAGACUUGUUGCAGCGUACAAAUAAAUGUACGCUGCAAAAAAUUGAGUAAUUCAGACUUGUUGCAGCGUACAAAUAAAUGUACGCUGCAAAAAGUUGAGUCUUUUGCAGCGUACAUAUAUAUGUACGCUGCAACAAGUCCAAAAUUUUGCCAAUUUUUUGGCACUUGUUGCAGCGUACAUCUAAAAGCCCGCUGCAA
Molecule: long non-coding RNA, 1355 nt
Organism: Spinacia oleracea (spinach)
Lineage: Eukaryota; Viridiplantae; Streptophyta; Magnoliopsida; Caryophyllales; Amaranthaceae
Exons: 3
Source: RefSeq, a predicted model, not a curated record